AGUGAACGCUGGCGGCAGGCCUAAUACAUGCAAGUCGAACGGCAGCACAGCAGAGCUUGCUCUGUGGGUGGCGAGUGGCGGACGGGUGAGGAAUACAUGGGAAUCUGCCCAGUCGUGGGGGAUAACGUAGGGAAACUUACGCUAAUACCGCAUGCGCCCUUCGGGGGAAAGCCGGGGACCUUCGGGCCUGGCGCGAUUGGAUGAGCCCAUGUCGGAUUAGCUAGUUGGCGGGGUAAAGGCCCACCAAGGCGACGAUCCGUAGCUGGUCUGAGAGGAUGAUCAGCCACACUGGAACUGAGACACGGUCCAGACUCCUACGGGAGGCAGCAGUAGGGAAUAUUGGACAAUGGGCGCAAGCCUGAUCCAGCCAUGCCGCGUGAGUGAAGAAGGCCCUCGGGUUGUAAAGCUCUUUUGUCCGGAAAGAAAAGCGCCGGGUUAAUACCCUGGUGUCCUGACGGUACCGGAAGAAUAAGCACCGGCUAACUUCGUGCCAGCA
RNAcentral lists this ribosomal RNA (496 nucleotides) under uncultured bacterium. Its description in RNAcentral is "bacterial SSU rRNA". It matches the Rfam family "Bacterial small subunit ribosomal RNA", at positions 29 to 513 of the family's 1533-position model. The record is from RNAcentral.